RNAcentral lists this long non-coding RNA (308 nucleotides) under Brassica rapa (field mustard). RNAcentral's name for it is "long non-coding RNA (BRAP_LNC007365)". The record is from RNAcentral. Lineage: Eukaryota; Viridiplantae; Streptophyta; Magnoliopsida; Brassicales; Brassicaceae.
GGGGUCUACCAUUCUUCUUGUUCUACUCUACGAUAGCUGCUCAGUUCCUCCAUGAUAAGCCUAACCGAAGCUUCCUUAGAACCCUCUUUUGCCUCCUAUUCUCUCUUCUGGUCAGUGAUCUUAAUUUUGUCUCUAUAAAUUGCGUUAGUUUAUGUGGAUUGACUAAGUUUUUGUAAGCAUGUGAAAAACAGCGAGCUAUGGUAUCAAAAUUCAUCGAAUCAUAUGUUACCUGGAAGCUUCCUCUAGAGAAAUAUGGUCUUAAACCGGACCAUCCUUUUGAAGAAGACUAUGCUUCUUGUCAAAUGGCG